Molecule: long non-coding RNA, 810 nt
Filed under: Numida meleagris (helmeted guineafowl)
Lineage: Eukaryota; Metazoa; Chordata; Aves; Galliformes; Numididae
Description: lncRNA (ENSNMEG00000011413.1)
Source: RNAcentral
CAAACAUAGAAGGGUUCCUUUCUCUUUUUUCUGUGAUGGAAGGGAAUUGAAUCACUAACUAGAAGCCAGAUUCAACUUCCCUUAAAGUGAAUUUGUUCUUGAUGGUGGGAGAAGACCCACAAGGUUUCACAACUAGGACUUAACUUGUGCUACACUGCACACAUGGAGAAGGAAGAGGGAAAGACAGGACAUACUGCCACUCUCUGGAUGUGCUGGACAAAUUGCCUCAACAGCUGUUUUGAUUUUUUCUUUUAUUUGGUUUCAUGAUUUGGGAUCGCUUCCGUGCAGGCUUGCUACAAAGAAAACUAUUUCUGUGCCCUUUUGUGCUGUGAAGUCUGCGUCCACACCAACUUGGCUGAAGGAGUCUGUGCUGCUGUGACUCAAGAGAGUCUGGAACAGCCUCCUCCUCACAUCCUUUUUGCACAUUGUCUUGAGGGGAAUUCUUGCGGACGACACCCAGACACCAUCCCAUGCUGCGCUGCUCUAAGUAGAGUUUCGCAAUUGCCUUACUGUGCAGAAGGGAACAAGGAACUUGGCCACAACCAUUUCCGAAGCUCCUUACGCUGUGCUGUGCUUUAUCAGAGCUUUUGUGUUCCAGGCAUAGUGGAGGUGCCAGCUCACCCUUCUACUGCAAAAUGGGCACUUCAGGCAAGAGAAGCAGUCUCCUGUGUCUUGCCUCAUGCUGCCACCACCAAAAGCUUGAGCUCUCUCCUGCCUGGAAAAGACCCCUCUGCUGACCCACUUCCUGCCUACAUAGCAGCACUAGGAACUGCACAAGGAAUCCUUGUUUUACUUCACUUCAGAUGCUGA